Molecule: ribosomal RNA, 433 nt
Filed under: uncultured bacterium
Lineage: Bacteria
Description: partial 16S ribosomal RNA
Rfam family: Bacterial small subunit ribosomal RNA
Source: RNAcentral
GACGAACGCUGGCGGCAUGCCUAACACAUGCAAGUCGAACGAGACCUUCGGGUCUUGUGGCGCACGGGUGCGUAACGCGUGGGAACCUGCCCUUAGGUUCGGCAUACCUCCCCGACAGGGGUGCUAAUACCGGAUAAUGUCUUCGGACCGAAGAUUUAUCGCUUUGGGAUGGGCCCGCGUUGGAUUAGCUAGUUGGUAGGGUAAAAGCCUCCCAAGGGGACGAUCCAUAGCUGGUCGGGGAGGGGGAUCCGCCACACUGGGCCUGCGAAGCGGCCCCGGCGCGUCAGGGAGGAAUGAGUGGGGGAUUGAGGCAGCGGGGCGGAGGCCUGACUGGGCGACGCCGCGUGAGGAACGAAGUCCUUAGGUGGGUAAAGCUCUUUUCGCUGCGAUGGUAUUGACGGUACCGGGGGAAGAAGCUCCGGCUAACUCCGUG